GACGAACGCUGGCGGCGUGCUUAACACAUGCAAGUCGAACGGUGAAGCUCCAGCUUGCUGGAGUGGAUCAGUGGCGAACGGGUGAGUAACACGUGAGCAACCUGCCCCUGACUCUGGAAUAAGCGCUGGAAACGGCGUCUAAUACUGGAUACGAGAAGGGUCCGCAUGGGCACUUUCUGGAAAGUUUUUCGGUUGGGGAUGGGCUCGCGGCCUAUCAGCUUGUUGGUGAGGUAAUGGCUCACCAAGGCGACGACGGGUAGCCGGCCUGAGAGGGCGACCGGCCACACUGGGACUGAGACACGGCCCAGACGCCUACGGGAGGCAGCAGUGGGGAAUAUGGCACAAUGGGCGAAAGCCUGAUGCAGCGACGCCGCGUGAGGGAUGACGGCCUUCGGGUUGUAAACCUCUUUCAGCAGGGAAGAAGCGAAAGUGACGGUACCUGCAGAAGAAGCACCGGCUAACUACGU
This 467-nucleotide ribosomal RNA is filed under the name uncultured bacterium. RNAcentral's name for it is "partial 16S ribosomal RNA". It matches the Rfam family "Bacterial small subunit ribosomal RNA", at positions 28 to 506 of the family's 1533-position model. The record is from RNAcentral.